GGAUCAUUAAAGAGUUCUAUAACUCCCAAACCCAUGUGAACAUACCUAACGUUGCCUCGGCAGGUCGCACCUACCUUGUAGCACCCUACCCUGUAGGGCCUACCCGGGAGGUGCGGGUAAGCCUGCCGGCGGCCCACCAAACUCUGUUUGAUAUUGAAUUCUGAACCUAUAACUAAAUAAGUUAAAACUUUCAACAACGGAUCUCUUGGUUCUGGCAUCGAUGAAGAACGCAGCGAAAUGCGAUAAGUAAUGUGAAUUGCAGAAUUCAGUGAAUCAUCGAAUCUUUGAACGCAUAUUGCGCCCAUUAGUAUUCUAGUGGGCAGGACCGUUCGAGCGUCAUUUCAACCCUUAAGCCUUCGUUGCUUAGUGUUGGGAGCCUACGGCAACGUAGCUCCUCAAAGUUAGUGGCGGAGUUGGUUCACACUCUAGACGUAGUAAUUUUUUAUCUCGCCUAUUAGUUGGACUAAUCCCCUGCCGUAAAACCCCCAAUUUAUCAAGGUUGACCUCGAAUCGGUUCAGACAAACUCGCUAAAUUGAAGCAUCUUAGUCAGCGAAGGAAAAGAAACCAACAGGGAUUGCCCUAGUAACGGCGAGUGAAGCGGCAACAGCUCAAAUUUGAAAUCUGGCCCUCGGGUCCGAGUUGUAAUUUGUAGAGGAUGCUUUUGGCGCGGUGCCUUCCGAGUUCCCUGGAACGGGACGCCUUAGAGGGUGAGAGCCCCGUACGGUUGGACACCAAGCCUCUGUAAAGCUCCUUCGACGAGUCGAGUAGCUUGGGAAUGCUGCUCUAAAUGGGAGGUAAAUUUCUUCUAAAGCUAAAUAUUGGCCAGA
Molecule: ribosomal RNA, 828 nt
Filed under: fungal endophyte
Lineage: Eukaryota; Fungi
Description: eukaryotic LSU rRNA
Rfam family: Eukaryotic large subunit ribosomal RNA (bases 501-828)
Source: RNAcentral